Molecule: long non-coding RNA, 259 nt
Organism: Quercus lobata
Lineage: Eukaryota; Viridiplantae; Streptophyta; Magnoliopsida; Fagales; Fagaceae
Exons: 3
Source: RefSeq, a predicted model, not a curated record
GCAAAUUUCAAUGAAUACCAAACAGCAACAGAUUUAAUUCUUUGUACAUUCAUUUGCUGUUUUAAAGCAGUCUUUUCCUCCAUUCGAAUCAAGGUUAAAGUAACCACAUGGAACUUCUUAAAGCUUUUGAAGGAUAGAAGGAUGCAAACCGUAAUCAAAAGAGUCCUUUCACCUUGCAAAUGACAGAGGAUAUGAGAAUGCAAUUGGUAGAUCUAUUUAGCAUUGGCUUUGUUAACAAAUUGAUGAGUGUUAAUGUAAG